AAUUGAAGAGUUUGAUCAUGGCUCAGAUUGAACGCUGGUGGCAGGCCUAACACAUGCAAGUCGAGCGGCAUCGAGUGAUCGCAGUUUACUGAGUUCAUGUCGGCGAGCGGCGGACGGGUGAGUAAAGUCUGGGAAUCUGGCCGAAGGAGGGGGAUAACUGCUGGAAACGGCAGCUAAUACCGCAUGAAGUCGCGAGACCAAAGCGGGGGACCUUCGGGCCUCACGCCUUCGGAUGAGCCCAGAUGAGAUUAGCUGGUAGGUAAGGUAAAGGCUUACCUAGGCGACGAUCUCUAGCGGGUCUGAGAGGAUAGCCCGCCACACUGGAACUGAGACACGGUCCAGACUCCUACGGGAGGCAGCAGUGGGGAAUAUUGCACAAUGGGCGAAAGCCUGAUGCAGCCAUGCCACGUGUGUGAAGAAGGCCUUCGGGUUGUAAAGCACUUUCAGCGAGGAGGAAGCGAUAAAUGCGAAUACCAUUUAUUUUUGACGUUACUCGCAGAAGAAGCACCGGCUAACUCCGUGCCAGCAGCCGCGGUAAUACGGAGGGUGCGAGCGUUAAUCGGAAUAACUGGGCGUAAAGGGCAUGUAGGCGGUGAGUUAAGUCAGAUGUGAAAUCCCCGAGCUCAACUUGGGAAUGGCAUUUGAAACUGGGUCGCUAGAGUUUUCUAGAGGGGGGUAGAAUUCCAGGUGUAGCGGUGAAAUGCGUAGAUAUCUGGAGGAAUACCGGUGGCGAAGGCGGCCCCCUGGAGAAAGACUGACGCUGAGGUGCGAAAGCGUGGGGAGCAAACAGGAUUAGAUACCCUGGUAGUCCACGCUGUAAACGAUGUCGAUUUGGAGGUUGCGGUCUUGAACUGUGGCGUCCGGAGCUAACGCGUUAAAUCGACCGCCUGGGGAGUACGGCCGCAAGGUUAAAACUCAAAUGAAUUGACGGGGGCCCGCACAAGCGGUGGAGCAUGUGGUUUAAUUCGAUGCAACGCGAAGAACCUUACCUACUCUUGACAUCCACGGAAUUGUGCAGAGAUGCGCAAGUGCCUUCGGGAACCGUGAGACAGGUGCUGCAUGGCUGUCGUCAGCUCGUGUUGUGAAAUGUUGGGUUAAGUCCCGCAACGAGCGCAACCCUCGUCCUUUGUUGCCAGCGCGUAGAGGCGGGAACUCAAAGGAGACUGCCGGUGAUAAACCGUAGGAAGGUGGGGACGACGUCAAGUCAUCAUGGCCCUUACGAGUAGGGCUACACACGUGCUACAAUGGCGUAUACAAAGGGAUGCGAACCUGCGAGGGAAAGCGGAACUCAGAAAGUACGUCGUAGUCCGGAUUGGAGUCUGCAACUCGACUCCAUGAAGUCGGAAUCGCUAGUAAUCGUAGAUCAGAAUGCUACGGUGAAUACGUUCCCGGGCCUUGUACACACCGCCCGUCACACCAUGGGAGUGGGUUGCAAAAGAAGUAGGUAGCUUAACCGCAAGGAGGGCGCUUACCACUUUGUGAUUCAUGACUGGGGUGAAGUCGUAACAAGGUAACCGUAGGGGAACCUGCGGUUGGAUCACCUCCUUAACUAUAAA
Molecule: ribosomal RNA, 1556 nt
Filed under: Candidatus Williamhamiltonella defendens
Lineage: Bacteria; Pseudomonadati; Pseudomonadota; Gammaproteobacteria; Enterobacterales; Enterobacteriaceae
Description: Candidatus Hamiltonella defensa 16S ribosomal RNA
Rfam family: Bacterial small subunit ribosomal RNA
Source: RNAcentral